RNAcentral lists this ribosomal RNA (457 nucleotides) under Nematogenys inermis. RNAcentral describes it as "partial 16S ribosomal RNA". It matches the Rfam family "Bacterial large subunit ribosomal RNA", at positions 1839 to 2567 of the family's 2925-position model. The record is from RNAcentral. Lineage: Eukaryota; Metazoa; Chordata; Actinopteri; Siluriformes; Nematogenyidae.
CAAAACAUAGGAGGUCUUACCUGCCCAGUGACUACAAGUUCAACGGCCGCGGUAUUUUGACCGUGCAAAGGUAGCGCAAUCACUUGUCUUUUAAAUAAAGACUUGUAUGAACGGUAGAACGAAGACUUAGCUGUCUCCCCUUUCAAGUCAAUGAAAUUGAUCUAUCCGUGCAGAAGCGGGUAUAAAUAUACAAGACGAGAAGACCCUUUGGAGCUUAAGAUAAAAACCAACUAUAUCUUUGGUUGGGGCGACUACGGGAAAAAAUAAAACUCCCACGCAGACUGGUAAAAAAACUAAGAAAAACACCUCCAAGUCACAGAAUAUCUGACCACUAGCCGAAUAACGAACCAAGUUACCCUAGGGAUAACAGCGCAAUCCUCUUCCAGAGCCCAUAUCGACAAGAGGGUUUACGACCUCGAUGUUGGAUCAGGACACCCUAAUGGUGAAGCCGCUAUUA